UAGGAAUAUUGGACAAUGGGGGAAACCCUGAUCCAGCCAUGCCGCGUGUGUGACGAAGGCCUUAGGGUUGUAAAGCACUUUCGGCUGUGAAGAUAAUGACAGUAGCAGAAGAAGAAGCUCCGGCUAAAUUCGUGCCAGCAGCCGCGGUAAUACGAAUGGAGCGAGCGUUGUUCGGAAUCACUGGGCGUAAAGCGUACGCAGGCGGUCUUGAAAGUCAGGAGUGAAAUCCCAGGGCUCAACCCUGGAAUUGCUUUUGAAGCUCCAAGACUAGAGUACUGGAGAGGUUGGCGGAAUUCCGAGUGUAGCAGUGAAAUGCGUAGAUAUUCGGAGGAACACCGAUGGCGUAGGCAGCCAACUGGACAGUUACUGACGCUCAUGUACGAAAGCGUGGGGAUCAAAC
RNAcentral lists this ribosomal RNA (400 nucleotides) under uncultured bacterium. Its description in RNAcentral is "bacterial SSU rRNA". It matches the Rfam family "Bacterial small subunit ribosomal RNA", at positions 356 to 773 of the family's 1533-position model. The record is from RNAcentral.